AGAUUUGGUCCAGAAAACAAACCCAGCAUGAAGAUCCUUAAAUUUGCUGUUUGCAAUCCUUUUUGUUGCAUUCCUGUAUGAACCAGGAAUUGCUGGCCAAAACUGCCGUGUAGGAGCAGUGAGAGGAUUUUGCACUUCCCGUUGGAGCCGGGGCUGUAUUAGGAGUGUUAAUUGUCCACGAAGUUGGUGGUGCUGUCCAGGAUAUGGAAAAUAAUGCCAUCUCCAACUUCCACCAUGGAUAUCUUGAAGAUCUGGCCAAUGACCCAACAUUACUACCUGCUACUGCUUUAUCUUUCUUUAUAUAAAUAAAAUUGCUAUCUAGCAAACUCUAAAACAUUUAUGCAUUUUUUAAAAAAAAUUGGCAAAUAUUUCUUGAAAUAAAGCUAUAUGAGCAUUG
Pantherophis guttatus is the source of this 397-nucleotide long non-coding RNA. RefSeq lists it as uncharacterized. NCBI's taxonomy places the organism in Eukaryota, Metazoa, Chordata, Lepidosauria, Squamata, Colubridae. The record is from RefSeq and is a predicted model, not a curated record.